AUGAAUGGGUGUGAAAUCAAACCACCUGUCUAUGAAAAGAAAGUUGGGAUGCCUUCAAACAAGAGUAGGAGAAAGCAGCCUUAUGAGAUUGAAAAGAAAGAUGGCACAAAGGUACUGACCAGACAUGGAGGCACAAUAACAUGUUCAUACUGCCAUGAACAGGGCCACAACAUCAAAGGAUGUAAUAUAAGAAAAGUUGGCAUCUUGCCAAAAAUAACAGUGAGAAGGGGGCCAAGGGCUAUUCCUGAGGAUGUGUCUGAUGAUGAACUAGUUAUGGCACAAGAUGAACAGGAACAGGAUGGUGGGCAAGUCACACAGGAGGAGGUUCAUGUCACACAAGAUGAUGAGCAAGUCACACAGGAGGAGGUUUAUGUCACACAAGAUGAUGGCCAACUUAAACAGGAGGAUGUCAAUGCCACACAGAAUGAUUGCCCAGUGCAGCAACAAGAGGACGAAUAUGAUACACCAGUUGUUUUUCAGGUGCAAGACUUUGGACAUACAAUGCUCUUAAGAUGA
This 516-nucleotide ribosomal RNA is filed under the name Triticum aestivum (bread wheat). RNAcentral's name for it is "partial small subunit ribosomal RNA". Lineage: Eukaryota; Viridiplantae; Streptophyta; Magnoliopsida; Poales; Poaceae. The record is from RNAcentral.